Molecule: long non-coding RNA, 628 nt
Filed under: Mus musculus (house mouse)
Lineage: Eukaryota; Metazoa; Chordata; Mammalia; Rodentia; Muridae
Description: long non-coding RNA chr16:62891223-62891851
Source: RNAcentral
AACAAUUUUCUCUCCUUUUAUCUCUUUAAUAUUUUCUGGAUCCAUCCAACCUUCUCUUUUCUUUCCAUGAGUAUUUGGCAGCAUGACAGGAGAUUAAAAUACAAGCAAAUAAGAACCUAAAAUCUGAGAUGUGCUUUCCAGUUUCAGAAUAAUCCUUAGCUGGCAUCAUGGUUUCAUUUUUGCUAUUGUUGUUAUUUUUAACUAUUAGAAGAGGUUUAUAUUUAUUAUAUGCAGAAUAUCACUAGGCUUCCUAACUUUAGGUUUCUUGGACUGUUAAGGAGACAGGUAAUAAAUUUAUUGUCAAUUUUUCUUCUAUUGGGAGGUGUUAUUAUUAUCUAAUCCAUUAGGUGGAAAAAUGUUCUUGAUUGAUAUUUUAUAUUUUGUUUUUUAUGGCAAACUGGUGCCUUUCACUGUUGAAAGAGAAAAAGAAUAUUCCUUAUUAAAUUAGUUAGCUGUCCUGUCAUUGCACGUGCAGAGGGGCCAUGGUCCUUGUUAGAAAAAUGCAAUAUGGUUUUUGUUUUGUUUUUUGUUAGUUUGUUUGUUUUUGGCAUGAACCUAGGACCUAGACCAUCAGGAUAAGAAUUAUCACUUUGUUCUUUAUCAGAACAAUAAAAGUUUUGUGUUCUAC